AUUGAACGCUGGCGGCAUGCCUUACACAUGCAAGUCGAACGGCAGCACGGGAGCUUGCUCCUGGUGGCGAGUGGCGAACGGGUGAGUAAUAUAUCGGAACGUACCCUAGAGUGGGGAUAACGCAGCGAAAGUUGCGCUAAUACCGCAUACGAUCUACGGAUGAAAGUGGGGGAUCGCAAGACCUCAUGCUCAUGGAGCGGCCGAUAUCUGAUUAGCUAGUUGGUGGGGUAAAGGCCUACCAAGGCUUCGAUCAGUAGCUGGUCUGAGAGGACGACCAGCCACACUGGAACUGAGACACGGUCCAGACUCCUACGGGAGGCAGCAGUGGGGGAAUUUUUGGACAAUGGGCGAAAGCCUGAUCCAGCAAUGCCGCGUGAGUGAAGAAGGCCU
RNAcentral lists this ribosomal RNA (390 nucleotides) under uncultured bacterium. RNAcentral's name for it is "bacterial SSU rRNA". It matches the Rfam family "Bacterial small subunit ribosomal RNA", at positions 30 to 417 of the family's 1533-position model. The record is from RNAcentral.